RNAcentral lists this ribosomal RNA (488 nucleotides) under uncultured bacterium. Its description in RNAcentral is "partial 16S ribosomal RNA". It matches the Rfam family "Bacterial small subunit ribosomal RNA", at positions 28 to 507 of the family's 1533-position model. The record is from RNAcentral.
GACGAACGCUGGCGGCGUGCCUAACACAUGCAAGUCGAACGGAAAGGCCCUGCUUUUGUGCGGUUCUCGAGUGGCGAACGGGUGCGUAACACGUGAGUAUCCUGCUCUUGACUUUGGGAUAACUUCAGGAAACUGGGGCUAAUACCGGAUAGGAUCUCCUGCUGCAUGGUGGGCGUUGGAAAGUUUCGGCGGUCGGGGAUGGACGGGCGGCUUAUCAGCUUGCUGGUGGGGUAGUUGCCUACCCAGGCGAUGACCGGUAGCUGGCCUGAGAGGGUGAUCGGACAGACGGGAAGUGAGACACGGUCCAGACGCCUACGGGAGGCAGCAGUGGGGAAUAUUGGACAAGGGGCGCAAGCCUGAUCGAGCCAUACCGCGUGGGUGAAGAAGGCCUUCGGGUGGUAAAGCCCUGUUGUGGGGAAAGAAAAGCAGCAGGUUAAUACCCCGCUGGUGUGACGGUACCCAAAGAAUAAGCACCGGCUAACUUCGUG